RNAcentral lists this ribosomal RNA (253 nucleotides) under uncultured bacterium. RNAcentral describes it as "partial 16S ribosomal RNA". It matches the Rfam family "Bacterial small subunit ribosomal RNA", at positions 524 to 776 of the family's 1533-position model. The record is from RNAcentral.
UACAUGGGGUGCAAACGUUGCUCGGAAUUAUUGGGCGUAAAGCGCGCGUAGGCGGUUACUCAAGUCGGAUGUGAAAGCCCUCGGCUUAACUGAGGAAGUGCACCCGAAACUGAGUAGCUAGAGUACUAAAGAGGGUCGCGGAAUUCCCGGUGUAGAGGUGAAAUGCGCAGAUAUCGGGAAGAACACCCGUGGCGAAGGCGGUUCUCUGGGACGGUACUGACGCUGAGACGCGAAAGCGUGGGGAGCGAACAGG